Molecule: ribosomal RNA, 994 nt
Filed under: uncultured bacterium
Lineage: Bacteria
Description: bacterial SSU rRNA
Rfam family: Bacterial small subunit ribosomal RNA
Source: RNAcentral
GAGUUUGAUCAUGGCUCAGAAUCAACGCUGGCGGCGCGCUUAACACAUGCAAGUCGGACGAGAAAGUGGAGCAAUCCAUGAGUACAGUGGCGUACGGGUGAGUAACACGUGGGUAAUCUGCCUUUUAGUGGGGAAUAACCCUGGGAAACCGGGGCUAAUACCGCAUAAUCUCGAGAGAGGAAAGUCGCAAGACGCUGAAAGAGGAGCCCGCGGCCGAUUAGCUAGUUGGUGGGGUAAAGGCCCACCAAGGCAGAGAUCGGUAGCCGGCCUGAGAGGGCACACGGCCACACUGGCACUGAAACACGGGCCAGACUCCUACGGGAGGCAGCAGUGGGGAAUCUUGCACAAUGGGGGAAACCCUGAUGCAGCGACGCCGCGUGAGCGAUGAAGCCCUUCGGGGUGUAAAGCUCUUUCGGCAGGGAAGAUGAUGACGGUACCUGCAGAAGCAGCUGCGGCUAACUACGUGCCAGCAGCCGCGGUAAUACGUAGGCAGCGAGCGUUGUUCGGAGUUACUGGGCGUAAAGGGUGUGUAGGCGGUUCUUUAAGUUUGGUGUGAAAUCUCCCGGCUUAACCGGGAGGGUGCGCCGAAUACUGAGGGACUCGAGUGCGGGAGAGGAAAGUGGAAUUCCUGGUGUAGCGGUGAAAUGCGUAGAUAUCAGGAGGAACACCGGUGGUGUAGACGGCUUUCUGGACCGUAACUGACGCUGAGACACGAAAGCGUGGGUAGCAAACAGGAUUAGAUACCCUGGUAGUCCACGCCCUAAACGAUGCAUAUUUGGUGUGGGUCAUUCAGUUGAUCCGUGCCGGAGCUAACGCGUUAAAUAUGCCGCCUGGGGAGUACAGUCGCAAGGCUGAAACUCAAAGGAAUUGACGGGGGCCCGCACAAGCGGUGGAGCAUGUGGUUCAAUUCGACGCAACGCGAAGAACCUUACCUGGGCUCGAACGGGUAGUCAACGGCGGUGGAAACAUCGCUACCCCGCAAGGGGGUCUAUUC